GAUCAUGGCUCAGGAUGAACGCUAGCUACAGGCUUAACACAUGCAAGUCGAGGGGAAACGAUAUUGGAAGCUUGCUUUUGAUGGGCGUCGACCGGCGCACGGGUGAGUAACGCGUAUCCAACCUGCCCAUCACUUGGGAAUAACCUUGCGAAAGUAAGACUAAUGCCCAAUGAUAUCCCACGAAGGCAUCCGAAUGGGAUUAAAGAUUUAUCGGUGAUGGAUGGGGAUGCGU
RNAcentral lists this ribosomal RNA (232 nucleotides) under uncultured bacterium. RNAcentral describes it as "partial 16S ribosomal RNA". It matches the Rfam family "Bacterial small subunit ribosomal RNA", at positions 15 to 236 of the family's 1533-position model. The record is from RNAcentral.